UGUAACGGCCAUACCACGUUGGCGCACCAGUUCCCGUUCGAUCACUGAAGUUAAGCAACGUCGGGCGCGGUUAGUACUUGGAUGGGUGACCGCUUGGGAACCCCGCGUGCCAUUACUU
Molecule: ribosomal RNA, 118 nt
Filed under: Sitophilus oryzae (rice weevil)
Lineage: Eukaryota; Metazoa; Arthropoda; Insecta; Coleoptera; Curculionidae
Source: RNAcentral